RNAcentral lists this ribosomal RNA (569 nucleotides) under uncultured bacterium. RNAcentral's name for it is "partial 16S ribosomal RNA". It matches the Rfam family "Bacterial small subunit ribosomal RNA", at positions 355 to 1375 of the family's 1533-position model. The record is from RNAcentral.
UGGGGAAUAUUGCACAAUGGGCGCAAGCCUGAUGCAGCAACGCCGCGUGAGGGAUGACGGCCUUCGGGUUGUAAACCUCUUUUAGCAGGGAAGAAGCGAAAGUGACGGUACCUGCAGAAAAAGCACCGGCUAACUACGUGCCAGCAGCCGCGGUAAUACGUAGGGUGCAAGCGUUGUCCGGAAUUAUUGGGCGUAAAGAGCUCGUAGGCGGUCUGUCGCGUCUGCUGUGAAAUCCCGAGGCUCAACCUCGGGCCUGCAGUGGGUACGGGCAGACUAGAGUGCGGUAGGGGAGAAUGGAACUCCUGGUGUAGCGGUGGAAUGCGCAGAUAUCAGGAAGAACACCGAUGGCGAAGGCAGUUCUCUGGGCCGUAACUGACGCUGAGGAGCGAAAGCGUGGGGAGCGAACAGGAUUAGAUACCCUGGUAGUCCACGCCGUAAACGUUGGGCGCUAGAUGUGGGGACCAUUCCACGGUUUCCGUGUCGCAGCUAACGCAUUAAGCGCCCCGCCUGGGGAGUACGGCCGCAAGGCUAAAACUUGAAAUGAAUUGACGGGGUCAUAGCUGUUUCCU